Molecule: ribosomal RNA, 484 nt
Filed under: uncultured bacterium
Lineage: Bacteria
Description: partial 16S ribosomal RNA
Rfam family: Bacterial small subunit ribosomal RNA
Source: RNAcentral
AUUGAACGCUGGCGGCAGGCCUAACACAUGCAAGUCGAGCGGAUGAAGGGAGCUUGCUCCUGGAUUCAGCGGCGGACGGGUGAGUAAUGCCUAGGAAUCUGCCUGGUAGUGGGGGAUAACGUCCGGAAACGGGCGCUAAUACCGCAUACGUCCUGAUGGAGAAAGUGGGGGAUCUUCGGACCUCACGCUAUCAGAUGAGCCUAGGUCGGAUUAGCUAGUUGGUUGGGUAAAGGCCUACCAAGGCGACGAUCCGUAACUGGUCUGAGAGGAUGAUCAGUCACACUGGAACUGAGACACGGUCCAGACUCCUACGGGAGGCAGCAGUGGGGAAUAUUGGACAAUGGGCGAAAGCCUGAUCCAGCCAUGCCGCGUGUGUGAAGAAGGUCUUCGGAUUGUAAAGCACUUUAAGUUGGGAGGAAGGGCAGUAAGUUAAUACCUUGCUGUUUUGACGUUACCAACAGAAUAAGCACCGGCUAACUUCGUG